RNAcentral lists this long non-coding RNA (948 nucleotides) under Marmota monax (woodchuck). The record is from RNAcentral. Lineage: Eukaryota; Metazoa; Chordata; Mammalia; Rodentia; Sciuridae.
GAAUGAGGAGCUAAGGAUCCUGCUAAGUGUGAUUUGAAGGUCAAGGCAGGAGGGAGCCCUCAAAGGCUUUGAUCAGGGCCUGAGGGGCCAGCCUUCCAUUCCAGAAAUCUCCCUUCAGCUUGGAAUAUGGAAGCUGGAGGCAGGGAGGCCCUAGGGGAGGCCCAUGGUCUUCAUGAUCAUUCCGUCUCCAGCAGGGGAUGGACAGGAGGCCAAAUGGCAGCCAUGCCUGAAGGCAGGACUUACAAAGUCAAGGAAGGACCCGGUGGUCUGGCCCCAGUCAAGCCUUCCUCCCUGCCUGCUGCUCUCAGGGAAUGGGGGCCAUUUCUCCUUAAGGGCCACUUCCUGGGACCAAGGUCAGGGCAGAUGGGGAAGUGAGUAGGGUUUAGUCAGCUUUUUUACUGCUGUGACUAAAAGAUUCGACCAGAACAAAUUUAGUGGGGGGGAAUUUAUUUGGGGGCUCACAAUUUCUGAGGUCUCUGUCCAUAGACAGCAGGCUCCAUUCCUCGGGGCUAGAGGGGAGGCAGGACAUCAUGGAGGAAGAGUGUGGUGGAGGGAAGCAGCUCACAUGGUGACCAGGAAGCAGAGAGAGACUCCACUCUCCAGAGACAAAUGGAGACCCCAAAGCCACGCCCCCAAUGCCCCCUCCUCCAGCCGCGCCCACAUGGGCUUUGGGGGGACACCUCACAUCCAAACCAUAACAGGGUAUUUGCUUACGAAGGAAAAAUGCCAAGUUUGCGUGUGGUGUGACCGUAAGGCCCUGCCCUUUACCCUUGGAGGUAACCAUUUUUCCCUUUAAAAAAAAAAAAAAAAAAAACUUGCUGGGUCAAGCAGAGAUCAAGGCCUAGAGCAGAGGUGAGGGGCUCUGGCCAACUUCUCAGGAGCCCAGAGACUGGCUGGGGCAGGGAGAGAGGCAAGACGGCUAAGCAGCAACCCAUCCAUUCCUCACAG